CCAAGAACAAAUCCUGGCUCCGUCCCUGACUGUCAAGGCUAUGUGAUGUACUGAUGUUUGUCAAGAGAUCAGAGGGACAGUUUUGUCUACUUUGCCUCCUGUGAAAAUCUAUCUUAGCGCUCCUUUGAGCCAUCCAAUUAAAAGGAGAUUGUAAAAAUGCAAGGCUAGCUAAGCUACCUCAUUCAUGUCUUGACUAAUGGAAAAAUCAUAUCCUUGUAAUUGGCCACCUUUUUCCAUAUCAAUUAACUAAAAAUCAUCUGUUAAUAACCAAAUUAACUUCCAAGAAGAAGGUGGACGAGUUAUUUAAUUUGUUGACUUGACAGUGUGUUUCUUUCUGGGUGGCGUUGAGUAGUCUUAGCUUCAAGAGAGAAAGAAAGAUGAGCAUUAUAUAUAUAGCUUCAAAUGUGUUUACAAUCUCCCCAUACAGGAGAAUUGAUCAUUGAAUAGUAAAUAAAAGAAUGCACUCGAACACCACCAAAUCCUAAUAAGACACACUAACGGCUGAACAUAGAUGAUAUACAUUUGAAAACUAGAUUAUCUUCCAAUCAUAAUGACAAUAUCAGCAAUAAGUACUAAGUUUUAGUUUCACUCGAUCGGAACACAAUAUCAAAAGUAAAACUCCAAACCAACCAAAAUGCAAAAAAUUGAUCAUUUUUAAUGCCUUGGGCUUUCAUUGUCCCUGACUUGGAAAAAAUAUUGACCCCAAAAAUCAAGCCUAAUAUGCUAAAUGAUUGGAAAGAAAAUCAAAAUCUCCAAAUUUCAGCAAUAAAUACUCAGUUAGACAUUUCUUCAAACACCUUCACCCCAAGUUAUAAACAUGAAGACAAUUGUAUACACAAGGGCGGAGCAAGGAUUUUUUUCCGCCCUGGGCUACCAAGAGAUAGAUCAAAGAGGACCUUUGCAGAACAAAUAGCUUAGGUUAUCUUCUAAUAACCUAGAACAUUGGCUAAUUCUCAAUUUUACACAUUUUAACUUCUUUGAGAUAAAUUCUCAAACACCAUGUUAGAUUCCAGAAUUUCAUAAGACUAUAGGGUUCUAACCAAAAAAAUUCAAAUUGAAAAUUCCCAAAACCUAAAAAUUCAGAAAUUACAGUUAAAUACUGAAAUAGUUGCACCAUACUAAUAUCAUCAACUAAAUUACAGUUGUCCUUAUUCAAAUUGAAAAUUUCCAAAACCUAAAAUCCACCACAACCUAUCAAAAAGUUCAAUUAGUUUGUCAAAACCCAAAUCAAACAACAAGUACCAUCAACACUGCUAUAUAUAUAUAAUGCCAUCAAAAAAUUAAAACAAAGAAAAUCACAAACUAAAAUCCCAAAUCAGAUCAAGAAAAAAAAUUAAAUAGCAAAAAUUAAUAAUCAAGAAUCUAAUUGUAAAAGAUAUAAAACAAACAAAAAGUACCAGCUUCCAGCUUGCAGUUUUUUGGGCUCGUGUCAAAUUCAAUGUUUAACUAUUUCACAUUCAUCUACAACCAAAGAAAAGUAUCUAAAAAUACAAGUACCUAAGAUUCUUUUAAACCAUGUGCUUUAACUACAAGGACAGCACUAACCUAAGUGUUGCAGACGGCAUACCUCUUCUCCUCCAGCAAUCUGCACAGCUCAAGGAGCUUCAGAACUCAGAGCAGAGGCAGUCAGCAGAGGCGGAUUGGCGGAAGGGGAAAAAAAGGGGGGCAGCUUCAGACUUCAGAACAGAGAGGCAGUUUGGGCGAUUUUGAAGAGGGGUUAGGGUUUUUUUAUUUUAAUCUUACAUGAAACGACGUCGUUUCAUGUAAGAUUAAAAAAAAAAAAAAACUAGCUGCUGCUGUGCUGCAGAAGAAGAAAGGAAGAAGAAGGUGGGCGACUGCAGAAGAACUGAAGAAGAAAACUGUGCUGCAAAAAAACUCACCUGGGCUACAGCCCAUACGUGG
This 1902-nucleotide long non-coding RNA is filed under the name Panax ginseng (ginseng). RNAcentral describes it as "long non-coding RNA (PGIN_LNC017325)". Lineage: Eukaryota; Viridiplantae; Streptophyta; Magnoliopsida; Apiales; Araliaceae. The record is from RNAcentral.